UUUGACUGUACAGGGAAAAUCAGAAUUUUUCCAUUUUAAAAGUUUAUUUUAAUGAUUUCUUUCCUCUUGAAAAUAUUCCAGGCAAAUCUAAAUUGUUGUUGGACAUAAGCGGUCGUCUCUGGUUUACGUAUAGAAGAAAGUUUUCGCCAAUUGGAGGGACAGGUCCUUCGUCAGAUGCUGGCUGGGGAUGUAUGCUGCGCUGUGGGCAGAUGAUGCUGGCACAAGCCCUGAUCUGCAGACACUUAGGAAGAGAUUGGCAAUGGGAAAAACAUAAAAACAACCAGAAGAAUAC
Molecule: long non-coding RNA, 292 nt
Organism: Cuculus canorus (common cuckoo)
Lineage: Eukaryota; Metazoa; Chordata; Aves; Cuculiformes; Cuculidae
Exons: 3
Source: RefSeq, a predicted model, not a curated record